GAUGAACGCUGGCGGCGUGCCUAAUACAUGCAAGUCGAGCGAACAGAUAAGGAGCUUGCUCCUUUGACGUUAGCGGCGGACGGGUGAGUAACACGUGGGUAACCUACCUAUAAGACUGGAAUAACUCCGGGAAACCGGGGCUAAUGCCGGAUAACAUUUAGAACCGCAUGGUUCUAAGGUGAAAGAUGGUUUUGCUAUCACUUAUAGAUGGACCCGCGCCGUAUUAGCUAGUUGGUAAGGUAACGGCUUACCAAGGCAACGAUACGUAGCCGACCUGAGAGGGUGAUCGGCCACACUGGAACUGAGACACGGUCCAGACUCCUACGGGAGGCAGCAGUAGGGAAUCUUCCGCAAUGGGCGAAAGCCUGACGGAGCAACGCCGCGUGAGUGAUGAAGGUCUUCGGAUCGUAAAACUCUGUUAUUAGGGAAGAACAAAUGUGUAAGUAACUGUGCACGUCUUGACGGUACCUAAUCAGAAAGCCACGGCUAACUACGUG
Molecule: ribosomal RNA, 497 nt
Filed under: uncultured bacterium
Lineage: Bacteria
Description: partial 16S ribosomal RNA
Rfam family: Bacterial small subunit ribosomal RNA
Source: RNAcentral